CGAACGCUGGCGGCAGGCUUAACACAUGCAAGUCGAACGGUUGUAGCAAUACAGCAGUGGCAGACGGGUGAGUAACACGUGGGAACCUUCCUAGGGGUACGGAACAACUCAGGGAAACUUGAGCUAAUACCGUAUACGUCCGUGAGGAGAAAGAUUUAUCGCCCCUAGACGGGCCCGCGUAGGAUUAGGUAGUUGGUGAGGUAACGGCUCACCAAGCCUACGAUCCUUAGCUGAUCUGAGAGGAUGAUCAGCCACACUGGGACUGAGACACGGCCCAGACUCCUACGGGAGGCAGCAGUGGGGAAUCUUGGACAAUGGGCGCAAGCCUGAUCCAGCCAUGCCGCGUGAGUGAAGAAGGCCUUCGGGUUGUAAAGCUCUUUUACCAGGGACGAUAAUGACGGUACCUGGAGAAUAAGCCCCGGCAAACUUCGU
Molecule: ribosomal RNA, 432 nt
Filed under: uncultured bacterium
Lineage: Bacteria
Description: bacterial SSU rRNA
Rfam family: Bacterial small subunit ribosomal RNA
Source: RNAcentral